RNAcentral lists this ribosomal RNA (442 nucleotides) under Neisseria pharyngis. RNAcentral's name for it is "bacterial SSU rRNA". It matches the Rfam family "Bacterial small subunit ribosomal RNA", at positions 30 to 464 of the family's 1533-position model. Lineage: Bacteria; Pseudomonadati; Pseudomonadota; Betaproteobacteria; Neisseriales; Neisseriaceae. The record is from RNAcentral.
AUUGAACGCUGGCGGCAUGCUUUACACAUGCAAGUCGGACGGCAGCACAGAGAAGCUUGCUUCUUGGGUGGCGAGUGGCGAACGGGUGAGUAACAUAUCGGAACGUACCGAGCAGUGGGGGAUAACUAAUCGAAAGAUUAGCUAAUACCGCAUAUAUUCUGAGGAAGAAAGCAGGGGACCAUUUGGCCUUGCGCUGUUUGAGCGGCCGAUAUCUGAUUAGCUGGUUGGUGGGGUAAAGGCCUACCAAGGCGACGAUCAGUAGCGGGUCUGAGAGGAUGAUCCGCCACACUGGGACUGAGACACGGCCCAGACUCCUACGGGAGGCAGCAGUGGGGAAUUUUGGACAAUGGGCGCACGCUUGAUCCAGCCAUGCCGCGUGUCUGAAGAACGUGCCUUCGGGUUGUAAAGGACUUUUGUCAGGGAAGAAAAGGAUAGGGUUAAU